Molecule: ribosomal RNA, 389 nt
Filed under: uncultured bacterium
Lineage: Bacteria
Description: bacterial SSU rRNA
Rfam family: Bacterial small subunit ribosomal RNA
Source: RNAcentral
GACGAACGCUGGCGGCGUGCUUAACACAUGCAAGUCGAGCGGUAAGGCCCUUUCGGGGGUACACGAGCGGCGAACGGGUGAGUAACACGUGGGUGACCUGCCCUUAGCUCUGGGAUAAGCCUGGGAAACUGGGUCUAAUACCGGAUAUGACUCCAUGACGCAUGUUGUGGGGUGGAAAGCCUUGUGCGGCUAGGGAUGGGCCCGCGGCCUAUCAGCUUGUUGGUGGGGUGAUGGCCACCAAGGCGACGACGAGUAGCCGGCCUGAGAGGGCGACCGGCCACACUGGGACUGAGACACGGCCCAGACUCCUACGGGAGGCAGCAGUGGGGAAUCUUGCGCAAUGGGCGAAAGCCUGACGCAGCGACGCCGCGUGGGGAUGACGGCCUCGG